GUUCUUGUAAACUCACUGGGUACUUUUUACUAACUAGUUGCAGUUACAUUUUUUUUUAUAAUCAUACAGUCAUGAUAAGAACACACCCAUAUUAAAGGCAAUAAUAAAAUAAUAGAGUGGUAAAAUAAUGUCCUAAUUGUCAAAUAGAGACAAUAUGUAAAGAUGGAUUCUUCACCAUAAGACAGCUGCACUGGUUUCUAGUAGGAACUGGUGGGUGAGGAGGGAAAGGCACAAGUGUACUGAGUCUCUGGUCAAGGGCAAAAGGUGAAUGGUUUAGAUCCACUCAGAGAGAGCAAACUCCUGAAGUCUUGAAAGGCAUUCUCCUUUCUCCCCAUCACAGAUACAAAUGUAAAAUGACCUGAAAUAAUCUGGCUGAGUGUUAGCAAAUGGUUGUAAGUGUCCUGAUUUGUUUCUGCUUUCAGAUUUACUCCAGAGCACUCCACAGGAAGGUUUGAUAUAUAACAGAGCAAACUUCAAAGGAAAAUGAACAUGUUAACUCUUCAAUUUUUUCCUCUCAUAAAGAGGGUAAUUUUUAAAUGUUUAUUUUCACUGAUUCAUUUACAGCUUCAAAAGUAAGUUGAAGCAUCUUACUACUGACACAGAACAUGGUAAAGAAAGGUGAGAAUAAUUAGACGUGUAAUAUUUUUACAUCAAAUAUAUACAUUAUUUUUUGUGGAAAGUUUUCUAAAAGUUAAAUUUUUAUUUCUAUUUCUAUAGUUAAAUUUUUAGAAUUUAAUAAAAAGCUAAAUUAAAUGUGAAAUGUCUUUUUAUAAACUAUUUGAACACUUGAAAUAUACAAGAAUUAUUAAGUUGGUGUCCACUGUGUUGAUUUAGCUCACAUAUCGAACGUCAUAUAAACACGCUGUAAGUGCCUCUGAGUUGAGAGCUCUCUGGUCCCCUUCAAUCCAGAGAGAGCAAGUGCUGACAGUUAUAGUUAUCUUUGAAAUGCUAUAAAAUUGGGUUGUGAUGAUCAUUGUACAACUAUAAAUGUAAUAAAUUCAUUGAGUAAUAUACAAAAAAUUCUUUAAAACAAAAAACAAAACAAAACCAAAAAAAAAUUCUUCUGCCUAAAGCAUGUUGAGUUAGAGUUUAGGAAUAACAUUAGCUAUAAACAUGUAGAAUAUAUAGAACAGGAAUUAUAAUAUAUUCAUAUUCAUCCUUUUUCAGAAAUAAUUUAUAGUACCUAAAAUAUAGAUUAAUCUUUGAAUCUAAAUUGCUUCCUUUUUGAUUAGUUCAUAAGGGUCAACAUCUAAUGAAAUUAACUAGAUACUAUAGAAGACAGAAAAAGAUCAAAUCUGACAUAACCCAGGAGAGAUAAGAACGUGUCUUUGAACAUUAACAGGGAGCAUGAUCACUACUGUUUUGUGCACUGAUCAACAUCUUUGCCUGCACGUCCUUAUGAGAGGUUUACAGGCAGCUGUGUGAAAGCUAAUAUAGGGAUUCUGGAUGGAAAAGAGCCCAGGAUUUCCCAUUGUGGCUCAGCAGUAAUGAAUUCAAGUAGUAUCCACUAGCACAUGGGUUCAAUCCUUGACCUCGCUCAGUGGGUUAAGGAUAAAACGUUGCCAUGAGCUGUUGUAUAGGUUGCAGAUGCAGCUUGGAUCCCAAGUUGCUGUUGUGUAGGUUGGCAGCUGUAGCUCCAAUUCGACCCCUAGCCUGGGAAUUUCCAUAUGCCGCAGGCGUGGCCCUAAAAAGACCAGAAAAGAAAAGAAAAAGAAAAGAUCUAAAAAGAAAAGAAAAGAAGGAAGGAAGAGAGAGAGAGAGAGAGAAAGAAAGAAAGAAAGGGAAAGAAAGAAAAGAAAAAAGAAAAGGGCUGCAAUGUCCUGGAAUUAAACUGUUCGCCUGAGAAAACAAUCAAGGACUGUGACUUUCAAUCAAUGGUCCAGGUAACACAUGAAAGGAAAUCUGAAACUCCAGCUUGAAAAACCCCUCACCCAGCAAGUUAGAAUUGCAGAGAUAAAAGUUUUCUGGAAACACAUAGGCAAAAAUAUUGUUUCCAACAAAACAACAAAAAUCAUACUUUACUCAGAAAGGUAAGUACUGAAAAUGUGGCACAAUGGUAGAGGAAUUCAGGAAAAAAAUGUUUAGACUCAAGAAUGAUAUACCCUAUUGUACUUUCCAUGUUCUUGAAACAGAGGGACCUGCUUUGGAAUGUGACAGCUCAGUGUAUGGCCCCAGCUGCUUUUCCCAAAUCUAACACACACACACACACACACACACACACACACACACACACGUAUGCGUGCAGCAUAAAACGGAAUUUAGCCAACAGCCUUUGUGAGGGAGAUCAAAUUAAGUAACUCAGGAUGAGGGAUGUUUCCCAUAAAAGUAGGAACAGUGAACACUGAAACUGAGUCACCAAAACUUCACUCUAAAGUAAAUGUUCUGAGAGGAAGAAGGUCAGGAGGCAGAUCCCACAGAAACAAUGGUGGAUUCUGAGCAGUUUUCUCCUCUUGGGUGGGGCAAUACUGGGCUAAUCUGCUGUUGAAAUCAUCCACUUACCUUGUUAAUUAAAUGACUGUUUUCAGUAUCAAGAUGUUUGUUUUCUUUCCAAAUCUGACCUUUCAAAAAUAUUUUCUCUUAUCCCUUAUGUGUUCCAUUUUUUACAAUUUUUUCUUUAUCAUUAAAAAAUGUUUAUUUUACCAUCUUCAUUUAAUUUUCUGUUAUUUGAAAUCUAUAAUGGUUCAUUAAAAGUCACACCUGUUUAGGGGAGAUCUGUCUUUGAUUAUUCUCUGAUUCUACAUCAUCAUCAUCUUUUUUUUUUUUUUGUCUUUUGUCUUUUGUCUGUUUAGGGCCACACCCAUGGCAUAUGGAGGUUCCCAGGCUAGGGGUCGAAUGGGAGCUGCAGCUGCCAGCCUAUGCCAUAGCCACAGCAAUGUGGGACCUGAGCCAAGUCUGCGACCUACACUACAGCUCACGGUAACGCUGGAUCCUUAACCCACUGAGCAAGGCCAGGGAUCAAACCUGUGUCCUCAUGGAUGCAAGCUGGGUUCGCCAACCACUGAGCCACAACGGGAACUCCUACAUCAUCAUCUUUUUGAGUCUUAUGUGACCCGGAUUGAGGGCACAUCCGACAAAAUCAGUUGUCAGUUGCUUAGCAAGUAUGGAAGGCUCCUCUGCCUUGGGACCACCUCAUGUGUUAUUUCUUGGCGUAGAUCUUCCUGAGUGUCCCAGCAACAGAUAUUCACAUCCCAGACUGACUGAGGGCAUGGCUGUGACACUGAAGUUGCAAGUUGCUCAGGUGAGAGAGGUGCACCCAGGACCGACUCGGUCGGGGCCCUGGUGUCUCUCCUACCAAACUCUCAUGGAGUGAGUAUCUGCUUGCACAGGAACCACAAUUACAGCUGCUACUGAGCAUCACUUUGCAGUUAGUUGAUUGAGAUUUACCCUAUUUUCUUAUGAGUUCAUCUUUGCAUUUAUUGAAGUAAUAGUUCAUCCAGUAUUUUAAAACAUUUUUUAAUAAGAAGGGUUUUGAUGUGCAGUUCAUGGAAGAAAUGGAAAUUUCGUGAUCUGAUUGUAAAGUUGUCUUCAUUCUUAUCUAAUACUUGCAGUUUACAGUGACCUGUGUGGCCGACCCAGUGCAGUGGUUCCCAUGUUUAUCUCCUUCAGUGACGUUUUUUUCUUUUCUUUCUUUCCUUCUUUCCUUCUUUCUUUCUUUCUUUCUUUCUUUCUCUUUCAUUUUCUUUCUUUCUUUUCCUUCCUUCCUUCCUUUUGUCUUUUUGACUUUUCUAGGGCCAAAUCCACGGCAUGUGGAGGUUCCCAGGAUAGGGGUCUAAUCGGAGCUACCGCCACCAGCCUAUACCACAGCCACAGCACUGCCAGAUCCGAACCAGAUCUGUGACCUACACCACAGCUCACUGCAUCGCAAGAUCCUUAACCCACUGAGUGAGGCCAGGGAUCAAACCUGCAACUUCAUGGCUCCUAGUCGGGUUUGUUAACCACUGAGCCACGAUGGGAACUCCCAGUGACGUUUUUCUUCUUCCGGUUCAUGGUUUGGCACUUCGCUUAAACUCUGGAUGGAAACCACCUAGAAGGGGAUGCAUAUGUUUGGCCUUGAGGCUGCUGUGAGGCAGCUGGCAAGUCAUCAUCCUUACACUGAACAGGAAGGAUUUGUGUCUCCAGGUCCCACCAUGUGUUCAGCACCCUCCUCUCCCAGUGCUGAAUAGACUCCAUCCAUCACUGUCAUUUUUCUUCAGGCCCACAGGGGUCAGAAUCACAAACAGAAUUUCCAAAAGUGCAGUUUCUCUCGACAUGAUCCACAACUGAGUUAUGGAAUUUAGUUUUAGGGAGAAAGCUCUGAAGCAGAAAGAUUUAAGAUUGAGUUGCUUUUUCUGCAGAACCUGAACAAUUUUUAAUAGCAAAAAAAACCCCAAUUAAUUUAUAUUUUGGCUUUAACAUAUAGAGUCCAUUCAUUCUACAAAUGGAAAUGAACAAAGACAGACGAUAAAAAUACAUUUCCAAGUAACCAUAUGGUUCCCUUGUAUUAGUUAUAUUGGAAAUAAGGAGAAUGAAGGACAUGUUAAAUAGUAUUAAAUAUUAGAGAAUCUCCUUGGCCUGAUGCCAUGGUAUCGUGUACACAGAAAUGCUAGAGCCAAGAACUCAAAAACCGUCCAAGACAAGUUGGUGGGGGGAUAUUUUGUAGAAAAGCUCCAGAAAUCUCUGUUGAGCCACGGUUGCUGGCGAGCUCUCUUUAUUAAGGAGGCCAACAUGCAAAUCGAAGCUGGUUCUUGGCCUUUCCUCAGCCCACAGGCCAAGGGCUGCAGUUCAUUCGCCAGCACCCCCAUCACCUCUCACUGUCCAUCCUUUGGCAGUGUUUUCCCAUUGAAACCACAGAAGGAGCCACUUUAGUAUAUUCUGUUUGGAUUAGAAACAAGAACACUGUAUACCUCCAGUUGAGUAGAAACCUAACUGUUCCAAUGUUAACAAACAUAAAUAAAAUAGUAUUUUUAACAAAUGAAAAGACUGACAUCCUUUGGAAGCUGCCAAGGGUUUUUACUCGUUUCUAUUAAUAAAGAGUCAGUUCUUCUUUCCACUCCAUUUAAUCAACUGGAAAAGGCAAAUCUGCUUAUUUUCAAAAAUCCUCAUUUCCCAAAAGUAAAAACUGAAAGCCCAGAAAACAAUUAUGGGAAAAGUGGCAGACCAAAGUACACUAAUCACUCAUGCUGCGUAAAGUUUUCUUGAACAUCAUUUUCAAUUGCUUCUUUUUCACUUGAAUGCUUUAUACACAUUCCCUCAAAAGCCUAGAGUCUGGAAUUUGAAAAAUUGUUCUGACUAAUAUAAAAAGUACUUUCUUAUGAAAAAAACUAAAGAUCAGAGUUCUAGAGAGUAUAUAAAAAUACCCUUCCUCUUUUGGUCUUCUAAUAUCUGCAAUCUAAUGUAUGGAUCAAAAAUAAAGCUACUUUACAAAGUUUUGAGUUGUAAGUAUAGUAAAUCAAUUUUAGUUUAUAGUUAUUGUUUUAUGGAUCGCACAAGAAUUUUCACUAUCUGGUCCAUAAAUAGGGUGACUAAAUAGAGUUUUGUAAUAUAUGUAUCUGAAAAAAAAAAUGUGUGUCAUCUCCAUUUAAUCAUAUCGCAGCUUUAUUUUGAGAAAGACAUGAUUUGCUUGUUUUAAGUCAGGAUGCAGUUGAGAAAGGCCAUGGAAAUGUCUUCCAGAAAGUGGAAAGGACAAUGCAUUCUUAUGGUGCCAUAGCUGUUUAGCCUCAGUGAAGAUACAGCCUCAGCAGUAGAAAAGCAAUCCUCUCUUGAAGAGCUAAAUCUUAUUUGUGCUUAAAAUUACCAAGAGCCCCAGGGUGACAAUGAAGUUGUUCUCAAAGUUCUGCUUGGGAAUUUGUUAGAAAUUCCCACUGACAUUAAUGGGAGUUUUAUAGGCAGUUUUACUCCCAUCGUGAGAGUUUCGGCUAGAGUGCUUCUGCCAGCUAUUCACAGAUUUAUGAAAAAAAAUAUUUUGAGUUGUGGGUGUGUCUAGAAAUGUUGAAAUAGGAGUUCCCAUUGUGGCGCAGCCGAAACAGAUCUGACUAGGGACCGUAAGGUUGUGGGUUUGAUCUCUGGCCUUGCUCAGUGGGCUAAGGAUCCGGCAUUGCCAUGAGCUGUGGUGUAGGUCGCAGAUGUGGCUUGGAGCAGGCAUUGCUGUGGCUGUGCAGGCUGGCAGCUGUAGCUCCGAUUGGAUCCCUAGCCUGGGAACCUCCAUAUGC
Molecule: long non-coding RNA, 6188 nt
Filed under: Sus scrofa (pig)
Lineage: Eukaryota; Metazoa; Chordata; Mammalia; Artiodactyla; Suidae
Description: lncRNA (ENSSSCG00065029106.1)
Source: RNAcentral